UACAGAGGUCCCAAGCGUUACUGAGAAUCACUGGGUUUAAAGGGUGCGUAGGUGGUCCGUUAAGUCAGUUGUGAAAUCCCCGGGCUCAACCCGGGAACUGCUUCUGAUACUGGCGGACUUGAGGCCAGUAGGGGUCACUAGAACUGACGGUGGAGCGGUGAAAUUCGUAGAUAUUCGGAAGAACACCAGUGGCGAAGGCGACUAACUGGACAAGUACUGACGCUGAGGUACGAAAGCGUGGGGAGCAAACAGG
Molecule: ribosomal RNA, 253 nt
Filed under: uncultured bacterium
Lineage: Bacteria
Description: partial 16S ribosomal RNA
Rfam family: Bacterial small subunit ribosomal RNA
Source: RNAcentral